CCUACGGGGGGCUGCAGUGGGGAAUAUAGGACAAUGGGGGGAACCCUGAUCCAGCCAUGCCGCGUGUGUGAAGAAGGCCCUCGGGUUGUAAAGCACUUUCAGUGAGGAAGAACGCCUGGUGGUUAAUACCCAUCAGGAAAGACAUCACUCACAGAAGAAGCACCGGCUAACUCCGUGCCAGCAGCCGCGGUAAUACGGAGGGUGCGAGCGUUAAUCGGAAUUACUGGGCGUAAAGCGCGCGUAGGUGGCUUGAUAAGCCGGUUGUGAAAGCCCCGGGCUCAACCUGGGAACGGCAUCCGGAACUGUCAAGCUAGAGUGCAGGAGAGGAAGGUAGAAUUCCCGGUGUAGCGGUGAAAUGCGUAGAGAUCGGGAGGAAUACCAGUGGCGAAGGCGGCCUUCUGGACUGACACUGACACUGAGGUGCGAAAGCGUGGGUAGCAAACAGGAUUAGAUACCCCAGUAGUC
Molecule: ribosomal RNA, 465 nt
Filed under: Vreelandella stevensii
Lineage: Bacteria; Pseudomonadati; Pseudomonadota; Gammaproteobacteria; Oceanospirillales; Halomonadaceae
Description: partial 16S ribosomal RNA
Rfam family: Bacterial small subunit ribosomal RNA
Source: RNAcentral